Molecule: ribosomal RNA, 468 nt
Filed under: uncultured bacterium
Lineage: Bacteria
Description: partial 16S ribosomal RNA
Rfam family: Bacterial small subunit ribosomal RNA
Source: RNAcentral
GACGAACGCUGGCGGCGUGCUUAACACAUGCAAGUCGAACGGAAAGGCCCUGCUUUUGUGUGGUGCUCGAGUGGCGAACGGGUGAGUAACACGUGAGUAACCUGCCCUGUACUUGGGGAUAACUUCAGGAAACGGGGGCUAAUACCGGAUAGGAGCUCCUGCUGCAUGGUGUUGGUUGGAAAGUUUCGGCGGUUGGGGAUGGACUCGCGGCUUAUCAGCUUGUUGGUGGGGUAGUGGCUUACCAAGGCUUUGACGGGUAGCCGGCCUGAGAGGGUGACCGGCCACAUUGGGACUGAGAUACGGGCCAGACUCCUACGGGAGGCAGCAGUGGGGAAUAUUGCACAAUGGGCGGAAGCCUGAUGCAGCAACGCCGCGUGCGGGAUGACGGCCUUCGGGUUGUAAACCGCUUUCGCCUGUGACGAAGCGUGAGUGACGGUAAUGGGUAAAGAAGCACCGGCUAACUACGUG